AUUGAAGCCUUUUUUCUCCAGUCUCUCAGUCCUCAGAGCAAACGGAGUGGUUGCUGCGAAACCCUAGCCGCAUACAGAGAAUAAAGAGGAGUAGGAGAACCAAAGCAAUUGCUGCGAAAACCCCAAGCAUUUUCAGAGACGAAAAAAAGUGUGGAAAUAGAAUCUCCCAUAAUAAGCAGAGACUAGAUCACAUUCUUCAUCACAUCGUUUUCAUCAUUUUAAUGGGUUGAGACUCGAAAGGGCCAAGAGACAUGCCCCCUCAAUCUUCAGGUUGUUUAUUUGGAAGUUUUGAUGGCAUGAGUGGAGUCGGAAAAAAAUAAAAUAAGCUAAGUGAAGGAGCUCAGCCUAGCUAUAUGGUAUUUUGUGGGUAAAAAGACGUAUUUACCCUCCGUUGCUCUACCUGUUUCGAAACAUGCUGAGAUCUCUCAUCUCUCUCACCAAAGGCUCUACCUGGACGCUUUAACAGCAGAGUUGACUACCUCUCUCCGGCGGCUCAUUCCGGCGGAACUGUUACGGAAGACCAAGUAGCCGAUCAUCGAGGAGAUAGAAAGUCAUCUGCUUGGUCUGUGUAUAGUAAUAUGGCUUCCUCUUUUUCCACUGCCACGUCGACAUGGCCACAACGCAUGUGUGCUUGUGGCUAUGGCCAUUGUUUUGUGAAGGUAUCCAGAUCUCACAAAAAUCCUGGUCAUGCAUAUUAUGUUUGCCCUCGGCCCGUGGGAGACGAAGCCUCGACCAUGACUCUAGGUCAAUCGAUGUCAUGCAGUAACGGGCUGAUGUCGUGCACAUUUUUAAUACGUUGCGUGUAUGAAAACUGUGAUUUGUGUGUUGUGCAUCAUGGUCAUCAUCUUAUUAUUGCAAAUGUAAAUCCCGUAAAUCAUUAGCCUUGUACAUAAGUACUGUUUUGAAGUACUAUUUUGAACAAGUAACUGCAUUGUGAUUUUUUGUAUGUAAACGCUACAUGUUAGUAAUUAUCGUACUACUUUUUAUAAAAAUGUGGAAGUUCGCUUUUACAUAUUAUUCAUAGUUUAUUGUCUGAAAUGUAUUCAUCGACUGGGUUCUAAUGUAUACAAUGCGUCCUCUCACAUUAGUCGAAUGGUUGCAACACAGUUGUCCCCUCGCACCCCGUCUAAGAAUAAAGGGGUUGGCCCAUCAGGUACCGAAGGAAUUGUUGAUGACUUUGAUCAUGCACAUAUGGCGAACUGGGACAGUGUAGCGACAGAAAUCUUCCUACAGUGUUAGGGAUGCAAUAUUAGCGGGCCGGCGAGUAGGUACAACCAUAACCAAAACAGGGUAUAAUGAAAUUGCACUAAAAUUCGCUAAGCACACGGGUAGACGUCAUAAAAUUACACAGCUGAAGAACAAGUACGGCAGUUUGAAAAAGGAAUGGAAGGCUUGGAACAAGUUGAUGGAUAGUAGUAAGGGUGUGACUGGCAUUGGGUUUGACAGGGAAACCGGGGGGUUCACAGCGUCGGAAGAGUGGUGGGACAAUCUUAAAUUUACAAACAAGAUAGCUUACAAAUUCAAGACGAAACCAUUGGAGCAUGAAGAGUUGAUGCGCGAAGUAUUCACAGGUGCAACUGCGACUAACAAACACCAUUGGACGCCGGGGGAGAAGGCUAUGGAUGUUGGCGAAGGUGAAUCCGAGUCAAUGGACUCUCCUGGGCUGGUACCAUUUACCGAGCCAUACACCGGUCGUUAACUCACCUCCAAACUCCUCCACCGUCCACCUUGAAGUGGCUGACCCCGGGACAAAGAGGAAAAAGGGAGGUAGCACUAGUGGAAAGUCGAAGAUCUCUAGUGGAGCAUCAGUGCUUGCGGAUAAUUUUAACCAUUUGUCUAACGUGGUUCAAGCAUAGAAGCACCUGACGGUCAGGCACGGAACCGGUGCAUCGCAGAAGUAUGGCAUUGAGCCAUGUAUGUAGCGGCUUAUGGCUAUCUCGGACCUCAUCAGUACCCCCCUGUUCCAUUUCGCCUGCAUUGCGUUAGAGAACGCGGAUUACCGGGAAAUAUUGAUGUGCAUGCUAGAUGAUGAGAAUGUAGUUGGUUGGCUUGCGGCAUUACAGGCUUCAAAAGGCCUGUGAGGACUUGGGUUUGGUCUUUCAUGCAAAAAUGGGACUUGUUUGGUUUUGUUGCAGUGCGGUUUUUGUGGACUAGUUCUGUGGGAGUCAUCAACAAGUAAUGUGGAAAGGUGAAAGUAGCAACUAUAGAAAUUACGAUUACGUGAUUUCAUCAAACAUGCUGAGGAAGAAGAAGACCUACAAAACAGCGUAAUCGGUGACGCUACGCAGCAUGCAAUGGAAUAUUACUUGAAGUACAUGGAGAAGAUCACAUGCUGAACUUCUAUUCUAACCGGUCGUACCUGGAUUCAAGAAUUAUUUGAUGGGCACUAUUUGAUGGGCACGUAGGCAGGGGUGAACAAAAUUUGCAUAUGCUGCUGUAUGUGUUUCAAGCGUUAUGUGACACAUUGCGAAGCGACUUCGGUUUACGGGUACCUACAAGACCCCAUGGAUUACACAUUGAAGAAAGUGUUGCGAUGAUCAUCCAUACGUUGGACGGCUGCACUAACCAAAAAAUUCAGGAACGAUUCCAACACUUGGGAGAAACUGUAUCGCGACAUUUCCAUGCAGUGUUGGAAGCAAUGAAGUUGUUCACAAAAGUGCAUUGUAAGCCCACCAGAGAUCAAAAUAAUAGGCAUCCAUAUUUGCGAUUUAGAGGGAAAUACGUGCCUUUCAAGGUUAGCAUAUUAGUUGUCGUUAUCAAUUACUUUUCAUUUUAUGUGAUGUAUGUGAACCUCAUGUGAUGUACGUUAUUGGUGUAACAUUGUAUUGGAGCGUUGACGGUACUCAUGUAGAAGCCGUGUUGCUUGCCCGUGAUGCCGGCACAUAUUACGGUCGCAAAUGAUAUCCCACCCAAAACAUACUAGCCGUAUGUGACUUCGACAUGUGUUUCAUUUUCAAAUCUUGUGGUUGGGAAGGAAGCAUGCAUGACAGUUGCAUCUCCAAUGAAAUAAUUGAGAAUGAACAUGCACCGUUCCCGCACCCCCAAGAAGGUAAAUAUUACCUUGUGGAUGUGGGAUAUCCAAACAAGAAGGGGUAUUUGGCACCAUACAAAGGGUCUCGGUAUCACAAAGUACAGUUCCGGGAUCGUGGACGACCUGAUAACCCAAGAGAAUUGUUUAACCAGGCGCAUGCAUCAUUGAGGAGCGUGGUGGAAAGAACAUUUGGAGCGUGGAAAUCGCGCUGGAAGUUCCUAAACGACAUGCUCGAUUAUGAUUUUGCGACGGUGUAGGUGCUAUUGGUUGGUGCGUCAAUAGCCUUACACAAUUUCAUUCGUAGGCACGAGAUAGCUGCUAAUGCAAACAACCAACAUGUCAGUUGUUUCUCAAUGCCAGAUGACAUGCCCACCGUGGAAAGAGGACAAAAUAUUGAUGAUGGCCUCAUGGUUGGGGAUACAGAUGUAGAUAUGACCAGAGUUCGCGUGCGCAUCCGUGACCAUUUGUUUCACAUACGGAAUCAAGGACUGUUGUGAAAUGUUUGGUGCCUAAUUUGCAUGUUUGUGCAAUUUGUAAUUUCUAUUUUCGCAUUGCAAUGUGACUGUAACAAAUUAUUUAAAUUUGUAAUUCGGGUAAGGACAAUGCAAUUAUGUUGAAAAAUUUGCUAUUUUUUUAAGUACUACAUCUUAUCAUUUACUAUUUAAA
Molecule: non-coding RNA, 3697 nt
Organism: Camellia sinensis
Lineage: Eukaryota; Viridiplantae; Streptophyta; Magnoliopsida; Ericales; Theaceae
Source: RefSeq, a predicted model, not a curated record